This 5107-nucleotide long non-coding RNA is filed under the name Xyrichtys novacula (pearly razorfish). Lineage: Eukaryota; Metazoa; Chordata; Actinopteri; Labriformes; Labridae. The record is from RNAcentral.
UUGGGCAAACUUUUAACAACAGGAAUCACAACAACCAAAGAAAUGCCAGGAACAACAUGUUCAUAGAUGUCAUAUUAAACUGGUCUACACAUUCACCUCUGCCUGUUAACACUGUGGUGAAAUGUUUGUUUCAGUGUCAGGUUGGUCCUAAGGGUCAGGAAAUAAUCAGGCACAUCUUGUAUCAUCAUGAAUUGUAUCUCUCUUCCAAUAGACAUACAAGCGAGUUGUACUGGAAAGUUGGCAGCUUAAUCCCUACUCCUGCUGUCAUUACACCAAAGUGUUCUGAGGUAUGUCAAUUGACACUGAAUGGCUUCUGGUAGCUGUGGGAGUAGUGUGUGAUUGGGAUAAAUUAAAACAUGUUUACUGGUUGUAACUGCAUACAAAACAAAAUCGGCACAAACCAAAAGUUCAUCAUAGGAGCUUUAAAUUAAGAAAAAGAUAAACAAUAGUAAACUAUGCAGUGUGUAAGGUCUGCAAGAUCAGCAGAGUGCAUGUUACUGUGUGAACAUAGUGUGGUGAGGGGAUAGAAGUAGGGUGACCAUGCCUUCUCUUUUACCCAGACGUGUCCUCUUUUUGUGGAGCUGUCCAGCCUGUCUGGCUUUGUCUAGGGGAGUUUAUCAAAUCUUCAAAUGUCCGUGGUUUUGUAUGAAAGUUUUGAGUUAGUGUCGCAUGGACCUAAACCAGUGUUGUUUUUGGCAGGCAUUUUAGAUUUAGUUUUAGUCUUAGUCAUUUUGAUGAAAUGCUUCUUCGUUUUAGUCCCAUUUUAGUCAUUUCUAUCCCUGUUAGUUUUAGUCUAGUUUUAGUCCAACGAAAACUCAAAAAGGUUUUAGUCUAGUUUUAGUCAACAAAAACUCAAGGUUUUAGUCAAAAAUCAAAGAUACUUAUACAUAACAUAUGUGUAUGUAUUUAAUAGGCCAAUACAGGUAUUAUAAUGAAGCACACUGAGACAGAUCUAACUUUCAAAAGGUGAGUUGUUUUUCCCCCCCGUCUUUUUUCUUUCUCUAUCUUUUCUUUUAUUUUGUUGCAGAGGCACACAAUAUGAGUAUUGUAUCACAAUAUGAUGAAACAAAAACAAAAAAUAAAGCACACGACUUCACAUGAGGUAGCAGGGGAACGUUUCACAACCACAAGUCAAGUUAUAGAGACAUUAAUAUCCCAACAUGGCCAUGAAUGGCUUUCCAAAUAUGUAAAGAUCAAACAAAAUAAAGCUCUGCAUAUAUAAAACAAAAAUUUUAAGGCAAACUGCUCUGCAUAAGCAAAUAUUUAAGGCAACCAACUCUACAUAGAUAUUUCUGGCAACCAAACAGAAGCAACAUGGAAGCGCUAGAAUAUGUACUAUGAUGCAACUAGUCAAGUAACAACUCGCCACUACCAGGUUCACACUGGCAGCCUGAAUAUGGCCCGAAUCAGAUCUGCGCCAGAUCAGAUCAGAUAUACAAGCUCCACAUGGGUCACAUCAACAUUGGAGCUUGUAGAUCUGACACAGAUCUGAUUCAGGCCAGAUUUAGGCUGCCAGUAUAAACCUGGCCUAGGUAGCCUAGGUAGCCUACCGGUUCAAUUUGAGGAAAGCACUUCUCUCUAAAAUUUCGCUGGCUUUGUUGCAACGGCCACGACUGAGGUCACCUGUAACGCUAAAAACUCUCUCAGCAAAUGCUUGAGAGGCAGGCAUGGCGAGAAGAUCUAAGGCAACAGGUUUCAGGAGUGGAUACACAUAAUCUGACUGUGCAACCCAAAAGUCAAGGGCACUUAGGGAGGACUCUUCUUCAGUUAAGACAUUUCCUGCCUGACACACGGCUUUGGGCGGCUAGAACUAGAUGGUCGGUUUGUUUUUGACAAAUAUUUGAAUCUGGACCGCUUUCUGUCUGGUUCAGGUGCCUCUGCUGCUCCUUCUCCCUUCCCCGAUUCCUCCUCAGCCUCCUCCCCUCGUACUACUGGUGGAACCAACUGAACAAUGUCAUCUUGUGCUUUGCUUUGAAUCUCCUGAAUUUGUUCGUUAUCAUUUGUAAGGAGUGCUCCUGUCGAGAAAGCAGCUGAAUCGCUGGUCUAUGUUUGCCUUCAUCUUUACUGCCAAGGACACUAGGUCCUUGAAGGUACGACCCUGGUCAUGGAGGAAGUCAGACAGGUGAGCUUGUAGGUCAAGAAGGGCAGGAAUGACAAGGGACAGACUCUGUGUGUCGCUCUGGAGCAUCUGUGUAUGCUCAGUGAAGGGGAGGAGCAAUUGUUUGACAGCGGUCAGCUUUUGCCACUCACUUGGCAGGAGAUAGUCCCAGGUCAUGCCAUCAGCAACUUUGACGACAGAGUCCUUUACUUGGAGAAGCCGGGAGAUCAUCAAGUAGGUGCUCGACCAUCUUUGGGGCAGUCUUUGACCAGCGUUAAUUGACACUCCUUCAAUAGCCGCUCAGUUCCUACGGAGGAUUUUCGGAAGAGCUUCACCAGAGAAUGGACCAUAUCUAGAAGUCGUUUAACACUUGUUUCUUUUUUUAUCAUGUUAACCACCAGCUGCAGCAUGUGAACGACACAGGGGGUCCUCGCCAUCGCUCCAUACCUUUAUAGGAAAAGACGAGAACACAACAAAAAAAAAACAAAUAACACUGAGCUGAAUGCGAAGAAAAACAAAAAACAAACAUCUAUUGCGACUGAGUGCUAAACUGAAAUAAUUGACCUCUGUUCGUCUGUAGCCAGCACAGGGUCUUCACUGUCGCUUUCCUGGGAGUCCUCCUCUGUGCUGCUCUCCUCCUCCUGGACAGAUUUGAAUGCAGCUACCAUGUUGCUCCCGUUGUCUGUUAUGGCUGUCAGUAUUUUGUGUUGCGGUUUACCCCACUCUUCUGUGCACCGGUCAACACAGGUUUUUAUGCUCUCUGCCGUGUGUGGGUGAGUGAGCUGGGUCAGAGUUAAUAAUAUGUGACGUGCUUUUUUGUCCUCUUGGCAAUAGUAGCAGGCACUGAUGGCAAGAAAUGAGGCCGUGAGGCCUUUCUUGGACCAUAUGUCCAGGCCAAUGGUGAUCCUUUGUGCUGUGGCAAGCUGCUCUCUGAAUUUUUGUUUUGCAUCAUUGUAUAUGUUAUCAAUUAAAUUGUUCACUUUAGUUCUUUUUGGGAUGGUCAGUGUAUUGUCAAACUUCUUCAUCAUGAGGAUGAAUUCCUCGUCCUCCACAAUGGAAGCAAGACGCCCCGUCCGACCGAUCCAUAAAGCAAUUGCCAUUUCUUUAUUGAGUUGUUCUUGAGAGUUCUCCCCAUAUUUAGUUGCAGCUGCAAACAAUGCUUUUAUGGAGGUCUGCACUCCACUUGGCUUGCUCUUUGGGGUUAUGGUCUCUGGGAUCUAGAUGGGGGGGGCAAAUCGGCAAAAGAAAUACACUUAAUACCAUACAGUAGUAAGUACACACUAGACCUUAAAUGCCUACAGAUAAAGACAGAUAUACAAUAUUAUGUAUAUGUAAUAUGUAUGUAAUUUAAGAUACAGUUUAAAGUGCAGUAUGAAUGAUAUAACUGUGGCAACAGUAUUAUCAUAAAUAUAUUGCACUUUGUUAUUAUAUAUAAAUUAUAUACCUAACAUAUAAAUUAUAUGGCAUACAGUGUCCCUGCAUAUUGGCUUUAGCUGCUAUUAUUAAUUAAAGUUACAGCAUCCACGUGUGUUGCUAACGAUAGGGAAAAGCCCCAUUCAUUCUAGCUUUAGCAUGUAGCGCUAGGAAGCAGUCUCACCUGCACGACGGGAGAGGUGUAACCACCACCACCAUCACCAUCACCACCACCACAAAACUUUAAUCUUAAAAGAAAAUGUAUCACAGGCCAGCCUAGCAUUAACUAAAGCUAGUAUAAUGCUUUAUUGUUGCAGGCAACUUACCUUCUCAUAAAUAGCAGGAUGGCUGGCCUUCAGGUGCCUUUAAGGUUCGUGGUGUUCUUUCCCGACAGUUUGAAGCCGCAGCAUGAGGAAGCUGUGGCUCCACAACUGUCGUCUGUCUCGUCUCCCCAUCCCCGUACAAGACAUUGUGUUUUAUUGUCACUUGGACUGUAUCUGAAGUAGGACUAUAAAUCAUCACUCUUUUUUCAGCCACCGGGCACCGCUGCUGUGCCUGCCGCCAUGGUGUGUGUGUGUGUGCGCGCCUUGUCCACCUGCCGCUCUGUGUAUGUGUAUGAGUGUGUGCGCGCAGCUGUGCGCGAGCGAGGCUUUUGGUGCGUGUGUGAUGGGGGCGUGACUGUAAGGACAAAAAAAAGCAUGUUUUGAAACUUUGUUCGUCCACUUUAUAACAAUUUAGUCUCGUCUCGUUCUCGUCUGACGAAAAUGAAUACAAUUUUCGUCACAUUUUAGUCUUUACAGAGCUUUGGUGACGUUCGUCCUAGUCUCAUUUUCGUCAAGGAAAAAAGGGGUCUGACGUCAUCAUUUAAGUUUUCAUCCUGCCUGACGAAAACAACACUGACCUAAACUGAGUUAGAAGCGUGUAAAAAAUACUCAAUCCAACCCCCCAAAAAAAUCUCAAAAUUAACUACAUGCGACACCCCCGCGUAGUCGUGUCCUCUUUUUGGAGAUUCAGAAUAUGGUCACCCUAAUAGAAGAUUAGUGUGACACAACAUUUAACAAAAGAAAUGGUAGAUUGCUGGUCUGGCAUGGGAGAGAGCUUUAUGGGAGAAGCUGCUUAUAUAGCUGGUGUGGAGGUCCAGGUGCUCCACACUAGAGUGGAUGGGGCCAAUCGAGAGUUCCACUUUUGUACCUCGAAGAAAACAUUUAACUAGUGUAGCCACCAGAUACACAAAUACUCACCUGGUUACACUCCUCAAUCUCAAUUGGCAAGUGGUGGUUGGAAGGUAAAACUUCAAUUUAACAGGCAGAAACCUUGAACAGAACCAGACUCAUGCUGACAAACCAAUCUGCAAACACAAUCUGCAGUGACUGUGUUCGGAAGAGGGACAGACAAAAGAAACAAAAAGGUUUAGGGAUCAAACAGCAGCUCAGACAGACUACAGUGUGAAUGUUAAAGGUAAUGAUGUGUGCCUUUUGCAGGGACCGCAAAUAAUGGAAGUUACAGUCAACAGGUCCAAUAUUAGAAUUCACAGUAAUGAUGAUAAUAGGGCUGUGGGGAUGAUAGUAUCAAUUAAAACAGUGGGAGUCUUGCUGA